This 1653-nucleotide long non-coding RNA is filed under the name Homo sapiens (human). Its description in RNAcentral is "HSALNT0339000". Lineage: Eukaryota; Metazoa; Chordata; Mammalia; Primates; Hominidae. The record is from RNAcentral.
GCGGAAUGGAGGGAUUUAAAACGCCCAUCCUUUUAAAAAACAUGAACCGUUUCAAGUACAGAGUUUGACAGAGGGUAGACGAAGAGGAAUCAAUUCUGGACCAGAGGAUGUCUCCCUGCCUUUGCCCUGCCUGCCUCCCCCCACAUCCUUCUCUGGCAAGGGGAAUGAGGCUGAGAAUGACCUCCAUCCGCAGGACGAGAUUCUCUAGGAAACAAGAAAUCAAAUCUCCGGGGACUAUCCAGGUGGGAAAUGGAAAUAAAUGAUAAACAUACGAAUACAUCGAUUCUGUUUCCUAUUGGUUGGGAGUGGGCUUUUUUAUGAUCUUGUUAGUAUUCCAGAUUUAUGAAUUCUAAAAAAUUGAGAGACUAUUUGAAAUAUUUAAAUGCAUUUUAAAGCCUGUGCGUGGGAAAUGGAGCUGUCACCUCACAAGAUCCAAAGUGUCUUUAACAACCCCUGCUCUGCUCCGGGAGGGCUCUGCCGUUCGGGACCCAGGCUCCGUCAGAGCAGCAGGAGCUGCAGAACUACAGCUGGAUCGGGGGAUGGACCUACCCCACCCUGGGCUGUCACUGGGGGGCCCAGUGUUAUCCCAGAGGAACUGCUGCCUGGACCACUGUCCUUGAGUAUGUCUGCAAGCAUGCCACAGAAAUCACUAGAUGGCGGAUGCUAGCCCUGUUCCAUUAAAAGCAAGUGCCCACCCCGUCUCUACUAAAAAUAAAAAAUUAGCCAGGCAUGGUGUUGGAUGCCUGUGGUCCCAGCUGUUCAGGAGGCUGAGGCAGGAGAAUGGCGUGAACCCGGGAGGCGGAGCUUGCAGUAAGCCAAGAUCGCGCCACUGCACUCCGGCCUGGGUGACAGAGCGAGACUCCAUCUCAAAAAAAAGCAGGUGCCCAGCACGGUGUCUUGCUCAUAGCUCACAAAUGGAUCCAUCUUUCCCUGCUCUUCCAGAAGUGGCAUACAAAGAGUAGGAGCCCGUCCACCUUGGGGGUCGGAGAGGGUGUGAUCGGGAGUGCGUGGCCUGUAGAGAAUUUUAAAACAAAACCAACUCAAAAUCAAUCUGCUUUUCAUUCUCACCACAUGUGAUUCUACACAGUGCCACGGAUAACAUAUGCCUCCCCCUCAAUCUCUUUGUUGGUCUAAUUUCUGGACAAUUGCCACAGUUACUGUUGAGUUUUAAUAAUAUCGCUAUGGAUUAGCACAUUGAAUGACUUGUCCUCUAAAAUAGUCUUCGAUGCGGAGGUUAAUUUGGAGACGUCCCUGUUGUGUAAUCGACCCCAACACUCAGGGACCCAGAAGCACGUGUUCAUGUGAAGAGGAAGUCUGCCAAGAUUCUGAAUCACUAGGGCUCAGUUGGUGUGGAGUUCAGGUCCCCAUCCCCUGUGGCAUUGCAUAUUACAUAUCAACUGUGUUUAGUAGAUUCAAAAUAAACAAUAGCACAGUCAUUAUGAAGACAAAGAGAAUUUGAAUUACUUUAAUUCUGCCUUUCCUUGUGACCACUUGGAGUUUUUAUUUUACAAUUAAAACAGCAAAACAAAAGAACAGAGAAGUGUCAUGUUUUGUUCCAUAUGUGCAAAUGUUAGUGUAUACGAGAGAGAUUUUACUGCAUUCAAACAGUAUCUGUUGCAUCAUGGUGAUAGAAAAUGAUUUUGUCUAUAGAGG